This 648-nucleotide ribosomal RNA is filed under the name uncultured bacterium. RNAcentral's name for it is "bacterial SSU rRNA". The stretch from base 1 to 545 matches the Rfam family "Bacterial small subunit ribosomal RNA", at positions 338 to 873 of the family's 1533-position model. The record is from RNAcentral.
CCUACGGGAGGCAGCAGUGGGGAAUAUUGCGCAAUGGGCGAAAGCCUGACGCAGCGACGCCGCGUGAGUGAAGAAGGCCUUCGGGUUGUAAAGCUCUGUCAGAGGGAACGAAUAAGGCUGGCAACACCAGCCCUUGACGGUACCCUCGAAGGAAGCACUGGCUAACUCCGUGCCAGCAGCCGCGGUAAUACGGAGAGUGCAAGCGUUGUUCGGAAUUAUUGGGCGUAAAGCGCGUGUAGGCGGUUCAACAAGUCUGGCGUGAAAGCCUAGGGCUCAACCCUGGAAGUGCGCUGGAAACUGUCGAACUUGAGUACUGGAGGGGAAGGUGGAAUUCUCGAGUGUAGAGGUGAAAUUCGUAGAUAUUCGGAAGAACAUCAGUGGCGAAGGCGACCUUCUGGACAGAUACUGACGCUGAGACGCGAAAGCAUGGAAAGCAAACAGGAUUAGAUACCCUGGUAGUCCACGCUGUAAACGAUGGAUGNUAGUUGUCGUCGGUACCGAACCUACGCGGUACGAACGACGUACGACGAUAAGACACUACCGCCGUCGGGUAGUUACGGCCGGACCGAACGGACGUAAAACGUUAAAACGGUAAAGUUAGUACGGACGUAGAGACGUACGACCGACGGACGACGACGAGGGAGGAGG